Molecule: ribosomal RNA, 163 nt
Filed under: uncultured bacterium
Lineage: Bacteria
Description: partial 16S ribosomal RNA
Rfam family: Bacterial small subunit ribosomal RNA
Source: RNAcentral
UACUCCUACGGGAGGCAGCAGUAGGGAAUCUUCGGCAAUGGGGGCAACCCUGACCGCGCACCGCCGCGUGAGUGAAGAAGGUCUUCGGAUCGUAAAACUCUGUCUUAGAGAAGAACGUUAAGUAGAGUGGAAAAUUCCUUAAGGACGUCCACCAGAUCCCUGG